GAAAGCACAGGAGAAAUUUUGAGUUAAUAACUGAGUACAUGAUACAAAUGAAGUCAGUCAUUGUAUAAUUAAUAUUGUAAGUCAGGAACUGGCUCCAUCAUGUGGACACUGAAUGCAUUGCAAAACUUUUGCAGAUAGGUUGCAGUGACUGAUUUUCUUUGCCACAAGAUGUGACCUUUGCAUUUGAAAAACCCAAACUUUUGACAUCACUAAAACACUUUUUUCACUUUUUUUAAAUUGAUUCUUUUUAGUUAUAUAUAAUGUUGGAAUACAUCUUGACAAAAUCAUAAAAGCAUGGAAGAUAAUUUGUUCUGUUUCAAUCUCUAGCACUUCCCCCACCCCUCCUUCCUCCUUUCUCUGUACUAUCUUCCUGCAAUUUGUUUAUAUUUUUUAUUUUUUUAAAUUAGUGUCUUGUGAAGAUACUUGAUGUUGGGAUUGUUUUCUCUGAUAUGCAGAAUCUAAUCCAAACUGAAGGCCCCCAAAGAGGUAAAGGGAAAAAUGGGGGGGAGGGAAUUUCAUCCAAAUAGAGGAAAGGUCAGUAGAGUAGUGUGAACAGGGAUGGAGGGGACAGAAAGAGGGACCAGAAAACGGAAGAUCUGUGGAGUGAAGUUGAUGGAAGUUUGGUGUGUACAUACAUGAAAGAGGCACAAGAACACAAAACACAUUUAGUUAGGAAACCCAAGCUGAAAUAUCCAUUCACCACUGAGUAACUGGUAUGUAAUAAGCAUGCUAUAAGCCCAGGAAGAGCACUACAUAAAACAAGAAGGGUUCUUGCCCUCAAGGAACUUACAUUCUAGUUCCAGCAAGCAGGAAUACUAUGGCUUGUAUAUGAGAUGUCCCCCAAAAGCUCCUGUGUCAAGUAAUUAUACAUCCAUUGGCAGUGUGUGCAGGAUGGUCCACUUUAGUACUGAAAUGCCUUAGUUUCAUGAAUAACACGAAUGAAAAUAAUCAGAAAGACUCAAAAUUUAGUUCUGAGCACAGUUGGGUUGGCAGGUCAGCAGUUAAAUGACAUUUUUUAUUUCUAUUAAGACUGUAAAAAAACUUAACAAAGCUCUCUCUCAGGGAAUUGUUGCAAAUGUUCCUGCUGAAGAGGAUGGACUGACCACAGGAGAUGUUCUGUUACUAACUUCAACAAGAAGUUAUUACGAUAAGUGUUCUCAGAAAAUUAAUAGAUUUUGUGAAUGAAGGCACCAAGCCUCUAUCCCUUCAUUAUUUUCUAAGUACUUUUACAAAAUCAUUCUGAUGGAAAGUUCUAUACCAGAUUAUCUUUGCUAUUCUCUUUAUUUUAAUAACUAUGAAAACAGCUAUUCAUUUAAGUUUUGAAUUUAGCAGUCAAGUAUGAUUCGUCAUUGCAGUGGUGCAAUUGAAAACAAUGAAUGAAAAUUAAUUAGACUCAAAAUUUGAAAGCCCUAGGCUAUAACACCCCUGUCAAUACACACAGAAGGCUGAGUGUUUGGAUGGUCAUUUGUAAGUAUAGCUUGAAAGUUAGCACUUGUGGGUUAACCGACUGUCAGCAAUGUUCAAAAAAUACAAGAAGCCACAUAAAGAAAUUUGGAGAGUGAUGGGACAAUUGGAUGACAUCAAUGCUAAAGUAGAAGAAAUAAAUUUAAUGUGUGUGUGUGUGGGGGGGGGGGGUGGUGUAGAUGUAUAAAAGGCACAAAAAGAAAUGCUAGGCCUGGGACUGUAGCUCAGUGGUAGAGUGCUUGCCUCACAGGCGUGAGGCACUGGGUUCAAUCCUUAGCAUCACAUAAAAAUAAAUAAAAGACUGUCUACAAUUAAAAAAAUAUUUAGUAAAAGAAAUGCUAGCAUUUGAAGCGUAUGUGAAAAGUUUCAGAUUUGUGACCUCUGAAUAUACUCAUUACAUUUCACAUUUGUAAAACAAUGCGGGCUGGGGUUAUGGCUCAGUGGAAGAGCACUUGCCUUGCACAUGUGAGGCACUAGGUUCGAUCACAUAAAAACAAACAAAAUAAAGAUAUUGAAAAGAAAAGAUUUAAAUCCAAAAAAACUCAAAGCAUAUUUUAGGGUAAACUAAUCUAAAUUUUAAAUUCCCCAGACAAUGUGUAAAUUUUAUUUGUUUGUUUGUUGACCGUUUGUAUAUCUUCUGUGAUGUCCCUGUUCAGUUCCUUUUCACAUUUGGUGAUUGGGAUACUUGUUUUUACAUUGCAUGAUUUCUUUAUAUAUCCUGAAGAUGCAUGCUCAACCCGAUGUGCAGGUGGCAAAGAUUUUCUCCCAUUGUAGGUUCUCUUCACAUUCUUUUUUUUUUUUAAGAGAGAGAGAGAAUUUUUUUUAAUAUUUAUUUUUUAGUUUUCGGCGGACACAACAUGUUUGUUUGUAUGUGGUGCUGAGGAUUGAACCUGGGCCGCACGCAUGCCAGUUGAGUGCGCUACCGCUUGAGCCACAUCCCCAGCCCUCUUCACAUUCUUGAUGGUUUCCUUUGCUAUGAAGAUGGUUUCUAGUUGGGCAACUCAACGUAAUUCUUGAAGCAGUUCAGUGAUUAAUGAUACAUGGAAACCAAGAAUAUAACUUACCGUAGAUUAUAAAAAUCAAGAAUAUAACUCACCAUGGAUUAUAACUUACAUGUGUAUCAUGCUCAUUUAAAAAAAUUGUAGCUGUAGAUGGACAUAAUGCCUUUAUUCUAUUUGUUUACUUUUAUGUGGUGCUGAGGAUCAAACCCAGUGCUUCACACAAGCUAGGCAAGAGCUCUGCCACUGAGCCAUAGCCCCAACCCUUAUCAUUUUUAAGAGUCAUAUCUUCAAGAGAUAAAGGCAGUAAUAACCUUAUUAAAAAUCAAGAAUGUAGGUUCACAAAAUGUAGGCCCUUUAACCAAAUCCCAGUUUCAGUAAGGCAUAGAGUACAGAUGGAAACCUAGCUCUGCACUGUUAGUUGUGUUUUCCCUGAGCCAAGCUGCAGUAACAGGCCCAACAAUCUAAUGAAUUCAGUUUGUUUGAAUAGAGAUAAUAAGACAUUCUUAUUAAAACCCAUCAGCCCAGAUAAUAUGACGGUCUAACAUUAUGUCCUCUUUGCCAGUGUUAGAUGUCUGACAAUUUAAAUAUUGUUUAGCAUUCAUCACAGAUUUUCUAACCACAGAUGUUUGGGUGAGUGAGGUAGCGGGAAAGGCUCUGCUUGUAAUCAUACAAAAAAAACCCCAACAAAUUGGUUCAUCCAAAAGUUGACAGAUGUUGCUGAAGGGUGUUAGAAUAGUGAAAGAACUCAAAGAACUCAGAAGCCUGUAUUCUCAUUACAACUGGUACAUGUAUAUAAAUGGACUAAUCCAAACUGCCAUUUGUUUUGCCUGCUUUUCCCCUCUUGUAUUUCCAUUUUGACUUCAGAGAGAAGAAAGAAUUAAAGAAGAAAAUGGAUAAACAGAUGCAGGAAUAGAUAAGAGAAGUAAAAUUCUAAGAUCAGAAGCAGAUGGAAGAGUAAGUGAAAAGGACUUCUCUACCCCACUUAUAUCAGGGAAUGAGGCAGUGGGAGGGAAGAUCUCUCUUAGUAGGAUUUUUGUCAUCCAGCAGUGCCUCCUUUCCUUCCUUUCUGAAUAGACCAUCACAGUGGAGCUUGACUUUCUGGGGCCAGUACCUGUACUUUCUUUGAAUUGACAAAUUUAUUUCUGCAUGUUAAGAGCCACAGAUAUUUCUUGUUUUGUGUUGAUAUAUAACUAAAAACUAAGAAGAGGCAUGACACAUUCUGAUUUUAUCGGAGGAUCACCGGGUGUUCUGGGUUUUGUAAAUCUAAAGGAACAUUAUACAGCAGUUCACAUCUUAGUCAGCCACAGCUUUUCUCCAGAAUUUAGAAACCUGGGCAGAAGAGAGGGUGUGACUGGGGGUGCACAGGGAGGAAAGUUGGAGUAACUGCCCAGGACAGCUCCCAGUGGAGAUGUCCCCCCCACUUUUUUCUUUGUUUUUGGCUAAUGAAUCCAAAGGCACUUUACCAUACAACUGUACUCAUAUAUUUUUACUUUUUUAAAAAAGUUGUGCUAGUCUCUAAGUUGACACUGGCCUCAAAGUUGAGACAUCCUGUCUCAGCCUACUGAGUAGAUGAGGUGGCAGGUGUACACCACUGCACCUGGACAGGGGUGGCCCUUGUUACCCAGAAGCAUCCUUAUUUUCAUUUUUAAUGUAUUGUUAUUAAAAUGUUGAAACCCAGAAAUGUAAGUACACAGAACACCACCCCACCCUUUCCUGUGUACCCAUCAUCCUGUUUCAGAACUUGUCUCCAGAGUACUGUGCAUGGAAGGGCAAUUCUUGAGCAGGACACCAUGUGCUUGCAAUAUAGAUUAAAAGAUUUUUAUUUUUUAAAAAUGCACAAAACCUUUUGAAGUUUCCUGAAAAUGAGUCUUUUUUAGUGUGUACUUUAUUAUAGAUAGAAGAGGUACACAGAAAAUGACAAGAACGGCUCACAGAAAACGUGAGAGCUGUUAGCAGAUCCUGGAUGGGAAGCCCAAGGAGGCUGGACUGUGGUACCUGGACUCUUCUAUACCGUCCUGGAUGAUGUCACCUGCCAGCCCAACCCCAGCAGCAGUCAAGGUUCAGAAUGUGAGCUGCCAGUGGUAGUGUUUCCUCUGAAGAAGAACCCACAGGUCUUCAGGUUCUCUGAAGAAGACCAGUGCAGGUCUGUAGGACAGAGUAGCUGUCCAGUGGUUUUCGUCAACAUGGUCCCCAGUGCCUAUAUCGACACUGGGAAAGACCACAGGAGAUCCUUUUUCAAGUGCAUGAUGAGAUGACUUUGAGUCCAAAUAGAAUUCACAGGUGUGCAAUUAAGUGCUCAAAAGAAUUUUGAGGAUUUAUCCUGGCACCACUAUUCUGAGCCUGAGGGAGACCAUGACAUUCUCGAGGAUGAAGGACAAAGGAUUCUGUAGUAUGAUCCUUCAAGGUUGUAUUGAUGGGAUGGGACGCCAAGUAGAACAGGAAGGAUGGUGCUCCAAUGCCAAGGGAAUGACCCCUAGAAACAUCAGGUCUCACACUCAGACCAAGUGUGAUCUUGCAGGUGCUGGAGAGAGAUUCUGAGGGUGGCCAUGAGUCAGUGGAUGGGAGACCCUUGGAGGCCCUGCUGCAAGCUCUGUUUGGAGAUUUGGAAGUUCCUGCACCCUGUUCGCUGGUCAAGACAUGAUGUUUUUGAUCCUGGUGCAUCAUUAGCUGAUCAGAGCAGACUGUGUACUUGUGUUUAUGUUGGAGAACCAGCCUUUGUCCAUGGACUUGAGGUUACUUGAGGAAAGAAGCUGUGAUAUACUGCAGAAUUGGACCAAAAGCAAAGAUGGCAAAAAUGGAUAUUGAAUUGUACUUAGGACAGACAUGUCAAAACCCAAGAAUCUACCAAAAGAUAUGAAAACCAUGACUGAAGUGAAGAAAGUGAGGAGUUCUGGGAUUCUUCUGAGUACCAGCAGCCCUCCCCUCACUGCACUCUGUGCUGCCCUCCAGGGACUUCUGAAUGAGCUGUCUCCAUAGCCUCAGUUGAUAUAUGUGCAGUGUACCUCUCCUCUGGCACUUAACUCAUCUGAUGUUUCUUAGGGCAUAGACUUUUGUUUUUAAUUUAAGUCCUCAUUGAGAGAGAAUUCUCAGAAGCUUCAGGGCAUUUUUAUUUAUUCCAAAGUACAUUUCAUCCUGUAGCUACUGCUUUACCCUCUUACAUCUUUGUAACCAGUCAGGUAGCUCAUCGCUGUGUGAUUUUCUUUCUAUUUUUAUGUGAUCCCUUGUUUGUUCUUUCAUAUUUCUCUCUAGCUUUUGCAUCGGAGAUAAAACAUACAACACUUUACAUUCUGCAUCUAGAUUAUUUCACUUAUGAUAUUUUUAGUUCCGUUCAUAACUUUGCUGGAUGUAGCAGUCUUGGUUGGCAAGUGUUUUUCUUUCAAAGCUUGGAAUAUUUCAUUCCAACCUCCCUUGAUCUUAGAGUCCAAGGUGAGAAGUUUGAAGUGAGGCAUUAUAAAUAAAUAUAAUCAAACUUAUACAAAUAUAAGUUUAUAUGAAUGUAAAUAAAUGUGACCUGAUGUUU
This is a long non-coding RNA of Marmota monax (woodchuck), 5985 nucleotides long. RefSeq lists it as uncharacterized. The record is from RefSeq and is a predicted model, not a curated record. NCBI's taxonomy places the organism in Eukaryota, Metazoa, Chordata, Mammalia, Rodentia, Sciuridae. The transcript has 6 exons.